CUGGGCGUAAGGGUGCGCAGGCGGACAUUUAAGUGAGAUGUGAAAUACCCGGGCUUAACCCGGGCAGUGCAUUUCAAACUGGGUGUCUGGAGUGCAGGAGAGGAGAACGGAAUUCCUAGUGUAGCGGUGAAAUGCGUAGAGAUUAGGAAGAACACCAGUGGCGAAGGCGGUUCUCUGGACUGUAACUGACGCUGAGGCACGAAAGCGUGGGUAGCAAACAGGAUUAGAUACCCUGGUAGUCCACGCCGUAAACGAUGAGUACUAGGUGUAGGAGGUAUCGACCCCUUCUGUGCCGCAGUAAACACAAUAAGUACUCCGCCUGGGAAGUACGAUCGCAAGAUUAAAACUCAAAGGAAUUGACGGGGGCCCGCACAAGCAGCGGAGCAUGUGGUUUAAUUCGAAGCAACGCGAAGAACCUUACCUGGACUUGACAUCCCCUGCAUAUCUCAGAGAUGAGAGAAGCCCUUCGGGGCAGGGAGACAGGUGGUGCAUGGUUGUCGUCAGCUCGUGUCGUGAGAUGUUAGGUUAAGUCCUGCAACGAGCGCAACCCCUGUUGUUAGUUGCUAACAGUAAGAUGAGCACUCUAACGAGACUGCCGCGGUUAACGCGGAGGAAGGCGGGGAUGACGUC
RNAcentral lists this ribosomal RNA (630 nucleotides) under uncultured bacterium. RNAcentral describes it as "bacterial SSU rRNA". It matches the Rfam family "Bacterial small subunit ribosomal RNA", at positions 554 to 1186 of the family's 1533-position model. The record is from RNAcentral.